This 740-nucleotide ribosomal RNA is filed under the name uncultured Geobacter sp. RNAcentral's name for it is "bacterial SSU rRNA". It matches the Rfam family "Bacterial small subunit ribosomal RNA", at positions 61 to 779 of the family's 1533-position model. Lineage: Bacteria; Pseudomonadati; Thermodesulfobacteriota; Desulfuromonadia; Geobacterales; Geobacteraceae. The record is from RNAcentral.
GUCGAACGGAGUUGAGGGGCUUGCUCCUCAAUUUAGUGGCGCACGGGUGAGUAACGCGUAGAUAAUCUGCCUGAUGAUCUGGGAUAACACUUCGAAAGGGGUGCUAAUACCGGAUAAGCCCACGAUGUCUUUGGACAUUGCGGGAAAAGGGGGGGACUUUCGGGCCUUCUGUCAUCAGAUGAGUCUGCGUACCAUUAGCUAGUUGGUGGGGUAAGAGCCUACCAAGCCGACGAUCUGUAGCUGGUCUGAGAGGACGACCAGCCACACUGGGACUGAGACACGGCCCAGACUCCUACGGGAGGCAGCAGUGGGGAAUUUUGGACAAUGGGGGAAACCCUGAUCCAGCCAUGCCGCGUGUGUGAAGAAGGUCUUAGGAUUGUAAAGCACUUUAAGUUGGGAGGAAGGGCAGUUAACUAAUAUUUGACUGUUUUGACGUUACCGACAGAAUAAGCACCGGCUAACUUCGUGCCAGCAGCCGCGGUAAUACGAAGGGUGCAAGCGUUAAUCGGAAUUACUGGGCGUAAAGCGCGCGUAGGUGGUUCGUUAAGUUAGGAGUGAAAGCCCCGGGCUCAACCUGGGAAGUGCAUUGGAUACUGGCAGACUUGAAUACGGGAGAGGGCAGUGGAAUUCCUGGUGUAGGAGUGAAAUCCGUAGAUAUCAGGAGGAACACCGGUGGCGAAGGCGGCUGCCUGGACCGAUAUUGACGCUGAGACGCGAAAGCGUGGGUAGCAAACAGGAUU